Molecule: transfer RNA, 66 nt
Filed under: Toxicochlespira sp. MNHN IM 2013-9841
Lineage: Eukaryota; Metazoa; Mollusca; Gastropoda; Neogastropoda; Conidae
Description: tRNA-Glu
Rfam family: tRNA
About the family: Transfer RNA (tRNA) molecules are approximately 80 nucleotides in length. Their secondary structure includes four short double-helical elements and three loops (D, anti-codon, and T loops). Further hydrogen bonds mediate the characteristic L-shaped molecular structure. tRNAs have two regions of fundamental functional importance: the anti-codon, which is responsible for specific mRNA codon recognition, and the 3' end, to which the tRNAs corresponding amino acid is attached (by aminoacyl-tRNA synthetases). tRNAs cope with the degeneracy of the genetic code in two manners: having more than one tRNA (with a specific anti-codon) for a particular amino acid; and 'wobble' base-pairing, i.e. permitting non-standard base-pairing at the 3rd anti-codon position.
Source: RNAcentral
GUUUCUAUGGUGUAAAUAGCACGUUAGAUUUUCAUUCUAAAAGGAUAAGUUAACUUAUUAGAAAUA